Molecule: ribosomal RNA, 393 nt
Filed under: uncultured bacterium
Lineage: Bacteria
Description: partial 16S ribosomal RNA
Rfam family: Bacterial small subunit ribosomal RNA
Source: RNAcentral
AUACGGAGGAUGCAAGCGUUAUCCGGAUUUAUUGGGUUUAAAGGGUGCGUAGGCGGUUUGCUAAGCGGGAGGUGAAAUGCCGGCGCUCAACGUCGGAAGUGCCUCCCGAACUGGUGGACUGGAAUGACUCUGCCGUGGGAGGAAUGUGUAGUGUAGCGGUGAAAUGCUUAGAGAUUACACAGAACACCGAUUGCGAAGGCAUCUCACGAAGGGUUGAUUGACGCCGAGGCACGAAAGCGUGGGGAUCAAACAGGAUUAGAUACCCUGGUAGUCCACGCAGUAAACGAUGAUGGCUAACCGCUGGUUUAUUCGGAUCAGUGGCCAAGCGAAAGCGAUAAGCCAUCCACCUGGGGAGUACGACCGCAAGGUUGAAACUCAAAUGAAUUGACGGGG